RNAcentral lists this transfer RNA (73 nucleotides) under Ictidomys tridecemlineatus (thirteen-lined ground squirrel). RNAcentral's name for it is "Spermophilus tridecemlineatus (thirteen-lined ground squirrel) tRNA". It matches the Rfam family "tRNA". From Rfam's summary of the family: Transfer RNA (tRNA) molecules are approximately 80 nucleotides in length. Their secondary structure includes four short double-helical elements and three loops (D, anti-codon, and T loops). RNAcentral also lists the same sequence under 1 other name. The record is from Rfam by way of RNAcentral. Lineage: Eukaryota; Metazoa; Chordata; Mammalia; Rodentia; Sciuridae.
UGGGAUCUAGCUCAGUUGGCAGAGUGCCUGCCUUGCAUGCACAAGGCCCUGGGUUCAAUCCCCAGCACCACAC